Long non-coding RNA from Zingiber officinale, 583 nucleotides. RefSeq lists it as uncharacterized. Lineage: Eukaryota; Viridiplantae; Streptophyta; Magnoliopsida; Zingiberales; Zingiberaceae. The transcript is spliced from 3 exons. The record is from RefSeq and is a predicted model, not a curated record.
CCGAACGACGACCCUUGGUGGCUAGGGCACGGUGAGGAACAAGGUUCGUGUCAUCUCCCAACCUACCGACUCCCUCGUCCAUCUUCCUCUAGUUAUUCAUGGAGCGAUCUGCGUCUUCUCUAGCCGAAUCAGACAGUGAUGCCAUCGGGAGGUGAUCUAGAGAGAUUGGUCCUCCUCUUCUUGCGGUUGAGUGGGGAAUUCGGUUGAAGAGGUUGAGACCAGUGAGUGGUGCUUGGGCUGUAGGGCAGAGACUUUAGGUGUUGAUGCUUGAUCAGUAGUCUUCCUGCUUGAUUCCACUGUGAUCCGAUUGAUUUCCUGUGAGGUUGAGUGUCCUGUGGAUCUGGAAUUGUGGUUCCGGCAACACCUCAACCAGUAGCUCCUUUGGUUUCAACAAUCAACAGCGGUUGCUAAUUGAGGAUCUUGUCUGGUCCAGCAGAUCACUUUGUUUUCCAACAGCUCAAUUGAGUGAGGUUCUGUUGCUGUGAUGCUGGAAUUGUGAUCUUUGAGGUGUAUCCAGCAGCUUUCCCUAACCGGCAGCAACACCUUUGAUUGUGAUCUAUUGGUGAUCACUUUGGGUUUGAGG